GACGAACGCUGGCGGCGCGCUUAACACAUGCAAGUCGAACGGAAAGGCCUGCUUUCCCUUGUGGAUUGCGGGUACUCGAGUGGCGAACGGGUGAGUAACACGUGAGUGAUCUGCACCCAACUUGGGUAUAAGCCUGGGAAACUGGGUCUAAUUCCCGAUAGGACUGCAGGGUGGUGCCUGUGGUGGAAAACGAUUUUCUAGUGGUUGGGGAUGAGCUCGCGGCCUAUCAGCUUGUUGGUGGGGUAAUGGCCUACCAAGGCGGCGACGGGUAGCCGGCGUGAGAGGGGGGACGGCCACAUUGGGACUGGGAUACGACCCAGACGCCUACGGGAAGCAGCAGUUGGGAAGAUUGCACAGAGAGCGGAAGGCUGAUGCAGCGACGCCGCGUGGGGGAUGACGGCCUUCGGGUUGUAAACUCCUUUCGACCGCGAGGAAGCCACCUGGUUGGAAGGGUGGUGACGGUAGUGGUAGAAGAAGCACCGGCUAACUACGUG
RNAcentral lists this ribosomal RNA (494 nucleotides) under uncultured bacterium. RNAcentral's name for it is "partial 16S ribosomal RNA". It matches the Rfam family "Bacterial small subunit ribosomal RNA", at positions 28 to 507 of the family's 1533-position model. The record is from RNAcentral.